ACGUAGGGUGCAAGCGUUAAUCGGAAUUACUGGGCGUAAAGCGUGCGCAGGCGGUUUCGCAAGUCAGAUGUGAAAUCCCCGGGCUUAACCUGGGAACUGCAUUUGAAACUACGAGGCUAGAGUGUGUCAGAGGGGGGUGGAAUUCCACGUGUAGCAGUGAAAUGCGUAGAGAUGUGGAGGAACACCAAUGGCGAAGGCAGCCCCCUGGGAUGACACUGACGCUCAUGCACGAAAGCGUGGGGAGCAAACAGGAUUAGAUACCCUGGUAGUCCACGCCCUAAACGAUGUCAACUAGUUGUCGGGUCUUAAUUGACUUGGUAACGCAGCUAACGCGUGAAGUUGACCGCCUGGGGAGUACGGUCGCAAGAUUA
RNAcentral lists this ribosomal RNA (371 nucleotides) under uncultured bacterium. Its description in RNAcentral is "bacterial SSU rRNA". It matches the Rfam family "Bacterial small subunit ribosomal RNA", at positions 525 to 896 of the family's 1533-position model. The record is from RNAcentral.